This 254-nucleotide ribosomal RNA is filed under the name uncultured bacterium. RNAcentral describes it as "partial 16S ribosomal RNA". It matches the Rfam family "Bacterial small subunit ribosomal RNA", at positions 524 to 776 of the family's 1533-position model. The record is from RNAcentral.
UACGUAGGGUGCAAGCGUUAAUCGGAAUUACUGGGCGUAAAGCGUGCGCAGGCGGUGAUGUAAGACAGUUGUGAAAUCCCCGGGCUCAACCUGGGAACUGCAUCUGUGACUGCAUCGCUGGAGUGCGGCAGAGGGGGAUGGAAUUCCGCGUGUAGCAGUGAAAUGCGUAGAUAUGCGGAGGAACACCGAUGGCGAAGGCAAUCCCCCUGGGCCUGCACUGACGCUCAUGCACGAAAGCGUGGGGAGCAAACAGG